UACGUAGGGGGCGAGCGUUACCCGGAUUCACUGGGCGUAAAGCGGGUGUAGGCGGCUCGGUAAGUCGGGUGUGAAAUCCCACAGCUCAACUGUGGAAUUGCGCCCGAAACUGCUGAGCUUGGGGCCGGUAGAGGGAGACGGAACUGCCGGUGUAGGGGUGAAAUCCGUAGAUAUCGGCAGGAACGCCGGUGGGGAAGCCGGUCUCCUGGGCCGCGCCCGACGCUGAGACCCGAAAGCUAGGGGAGCAAACCGG
This 253-nucleotide ribosomal RNA is filed under the name uncultured microorganism. Its description in RNAcentral is "partial 16S ribosomal RNA". It matches the Rfam family "Bacterial small subunit ribosomal RNA", at positions 524 to 776 of the family's 1533-position model. The record is from RNAcentral.